RNAcentral lists this ribosomal RNA (460 nucleotides) under uncultured bacterium. RNAcentral describes it as "partial 16S ribosomal RNA". It matches the Rfam family "Bacterial small subunit ribosomal RNA", at positions 29 to 523 of the family's 1533-position model. The record is from RNAcentral.
AACGAACGCUGGAGGCAUGCCUUAUACAUGCAAGUCGAACGCGAAAGUACCUUCGGGUAUCAGUAGAGUGGCAAACGGGUGAGUAACGCGUGGGAAUAUACCUUAUAGUAAGGAAUAGCCUCGGGAAACUGGGAAUAAAACCGUAUACGCUCUUAGGGGGAAAGAUUUAUCGCUAUAAGAUUAGCCCGCGUCAGAUUAGCUAGUUGGUGGGGUAACGGCCUACCAAGGCAACGUUCUGGAGCUGGUCUGAGAGGAUGACCAGCCACAUUGGGGCUGAGAUACUGCCCAAACUCCUACGGGAGGCAGCAGUAGGGAAUAUUGGACAAUGGGAGAAACCCUGAUCCAGCAAUGCCUCGUGAGUGAUGAAGGCCUUAGGAUUGUAAAGCUCUUUUAGUGGGGAAGAUAAUGACGGUACCCACAGAAAAAGCACCGGCUAACUCCGUGCCAGCAGCCGCCGUAA